UUGCGGCUAAUUAAACCCAUUGAGGUCCUUUCAUUAUCAGGCUUGAUAUGCAAUGGCUGCAAGCAGAAACCACCUAGGUAACACAGGCAGCCUGUUGCUUGCACAGGUUGCUCUAAAAGAUCUUGGACACAGCC
Small nucleolar RNA from Ochotona princeps (American pika), 134 nucleotides. Its record names the gene SNORA70. It matches the Rfam family "Small nucleolar RNA SNORA70". From Rfam's summary of the family: snoRNA U70 seems to be exclusive to mammals and is a member of the H/ACA class of snoRNA which contain H (ANANNA) and ACA box motifs. H/ACA box snoRNAs are involved in the conversion of uridines to pseudouridines (5-ribosyluracil) a constituent of structural RNAs (transfer, ribosomal, small nuclear, and small nucleolar). The record is from Ensembl. NCBI's taxonomy places the organism in Eukaryota, Metazoa, Chordata, Mammalia, Lagomorpha, Ochotonidae.